GUUAAUCAAUAACCUUAUUGAUUUAUACCUUAAAUUCAGAAAGACUGUUUCAGUUGACAUUGACAGCAUAUCACAGACAGAGCAGGAUAUUAAUUUUCAAAGUGUAUCAAACUCAAUUUACCUUAGGGCAAAGUCAGAGAUAUCAGGCUUUGCAGCCACCUGUCCUUCUGUAAAUUGCAUUUUCAAGACAGCUCCCGAGAGAACAAGGGAAAGCUGCAUCCCCCCAGCACAUUCCCGUAGCUCUGAACCUCCACCCCAGUUCUGAGCUUGUGCUUCAGUCCAGCCGGGAUCUGAGCAGAGCACACGGGGCUUAAGUGGGACCAGGACUUCUCAGACACAGAGGUGCACCCACCCACCUGGACUCAUGAGAACCAUUCCUGCCACAUCGUGGUCGUCACCCUGGAGCUCUGGCAUGAAAACCCCACACUCCUGGAACCAGCCCUUGCCCUCACUUUUCUCAGCAGGAAUGUUGAAGCCGAGACCCCAUCCCUCCACAGCAGCUGUGCAGACUCGGGCCCCUGCACCUGUGAGUCAUCUUGCCUCUCCCAGGGGAGCACUCACAGCCAGGAUUGGAGUAGCCCCGGGACAGGUUUGUCUGUGGAACAGAAAGGCCCUGCCCUUAGGAGGGGUGGAUGCUCCCCUGUUCUCCGCUGUGACUCGCCUCCAGGCACCUGCACUCUUCGCAUUCCUGUCUGUGCCCCAAGGACACGACUCCCCUCCUCCCAGGGCUGUGAGCCCAGGAGAUGGCUUUGGGCAAAUUAGAAACAUGCCCUUCCUCAGACUCGUGACUGCCACCUACUGGAAAACCAGCUCCAGCACGACUGUGAUAUGAGCUGCGCUGCUAGGGUCGAGUGGGCUUCUCAGACGGUGCAGUGAUAAAGAAUCCACCUGCCAAUGCAGGAUCACAGGUUCGAUCCCUGGGUUGGGAAGACCCCUUGGGGUAGGAAAUGGCAACCUACUCCGGUAUUCUUUCCUGGAAACACAAAGAGUUGGACGUGACUGAGCAUCCUUGCUGGGUUGAGCAGUGCAGAACCUGGACAACCAUACCUGGCAGCCCUGCCCCCUCCUCUUCUGCAAACCCCACUCCUUGAUCCUCACCAGAGCUCCAGUCACCAGCCACAUUGCUACUUUAUCAUCUAAUACAUGUCCUCUGAAUAUAUGCUCCACAAGGGCUGCAAAUUUGGUUUGUUUUAUUCAAGAUUGUGUUUCCAGUCCAUAAAAUGGUCCAAUACAAAGUGGAAACUCAACAAACACUUGUUGCAUAAAUAUAUGGAUGAAUACAGGAAUGAGUUCUUCCUUCUUUUCCUGAUGCACCCUCCAGUAUCACCAGCAGAGCCCAUGAGCAGAGCUCACUGUGUUAUGUGCUGCACUCACCAACAUCAGGGGUCUCGAACUUGGUCCAGGGAGAUGCUCAGAGAAAAUUUGGGGUCUGAUUCCUCUGUUCGUAGAAGCUUCAUCUGGGCACAGCUGCCAGGGGCUUACAUUGUUAAGUGACGACAAAAGAAAUGAGCCCUUAGGUUAUCAAGUAACUGAGCAACUGAGUAGCCACUAGUGGAAAUUCAAGAUUUGAUAAGUUUUGACUUCUGUAGAAUUAAAUAUUUGCAUUUAAUUUUAAAUUCCUGAGCAGCGGAGGUGGGCUGGGAGCAGUGGUGUCUAAGGAGGGACAUCAUUUUCUAAUUAGAUGGAGGGAGGCUGAUUCCAUCUCUUGGGAUUGGAUCCUGAUAAUUUGACCUCCACCCUGUGAACCCCCGGAGGAAGCAGCAGUUUAUCCUUUUUGUUUUAAAGAUUGCAUAUUUGAAAAGUCUCAGGUCACUUCCCCCCAGAUUGCUCAGAUGCCUCAGAGUUUUCUCUGUAAGGCCUCUGGGGUGGAGCAGUUGCUGGAGGGACCCUGGCUGCCAUCAGGAUCUAGAGCACCUGGGAUUUCCCUGGAGUUGCAAUAUCCUUUCUACCCUGUCUGCGUGGGACAGUGUGGUUCAGGGUCGGGGGUCUGCCCACUUCACUGUUCAGUCCCCUGGGGACACUUGAGGGGGGUCACAUUUCUGAGCUGGGAUUUCUAUGAGAAUCCUGGGAGGCGAGAUAAGGAGUGAUGUCAUCUCAGGUCUCUCUGCUUGCGUGCGUGCUCACUUGCUUCCGUCUUGUCCAACUCUUACCCCAUGGACUGCAGCCCACCAGGCUCUUCUUGUCCAUGAGAUUCUCCAGGCAAGAAUGUUGGAGUGGGUUGCCAUACCCUUCUCCAAGGGAUCAUCUGGACCCAGGGGUCAAACUCGAGUCUCCUGCAGCUUCUUCCUUGGCAGGCGGAUUCUUUACUACUGAGCUACCGGGUAAGCCCCAGGUCCCUCUGGGUGUUGUUCAGUCCCUAAGUCAUGUCCAGCUCUUUGUGACCCCAUGAACUGCAGCAUGUCAGGAUCCCCUGUCCUUCACUAUCUCACUGCCCAAACUCAUGUCUAUGGAGUUAGUGAUGCUAUCCAACCAUCUCGUCUUCUGUUGACCCCUUCUCUUGCCUUCAGAUCUUUCUAGUAACCCUGAAAUAUCUUUUCUUCUCACUUAACUGAUUCCUGCUCAUUCAUACUUCUCAGUGACUGGGAGCCCACCUUCCCCAUUGGGCCUCUCUCUGGAAAGGGUCACUAAACUCAGGGAUCUUUCAUCUCACAUCCUGCUUGAAACCCACCUUCCUGGGGUCCCUCUUCCUCCCCCACCUGUCACCCUCCUGCUCUCAGAUGUGUCUCUAAGCACCUUCCUGUGCUUCCUGCACCCAGAUCUGGGCUGGACCAGAGCAGGCAUUAGGGGUGUGGGUGCCAUCUCGAUAUAAUGGGACCUGCCUUGAAAUCCCAGUUCUUUCCUUUUCGCUCUGACUGAGUGAGGUAAUUUACCUCUGUGGGUCUCGGUUCUCUAAGCUGUCAGACGGGGAAAUAGUAUCUAUCUUAGAGGUGCGCUGUGAGAUUUCAGAAGGAUUGAAUCAGGUUGUGUGCAUAUGUGCAUGCUAAGUUGCUUCAGUCAGUCAUGUCUGACUCUGCGAUCCCAUGGAUUCUCGCCCACCAAGCUCCUGGGUCCAUAGGAUUCUCCAGGCAAGAACACUGGAGUGGGUUGCUGUACCCUCCACCGGAGAAUCUUCCUGACCCAGGGAUUGAACCCACCUCUCUUAUAUCUCCCGCAUUGCAGGCAGGUCCUUUACCACUAGCACCACCUGGAAAGCCUCUGAAUUAGGUUGGAUAACACCAAAUGCCAGAUGCUGUAAAUAUAAACAAACACACAAAUCUCAAUGAAUUAGCACAAGAGCAGUUUGUUUUUCCUAACGUAGUAAUUCAGUUCAGUUCAGUACAGUUCAGUCGCUCAGUCUUGUCCGACUCUUUGUGACCCCAUGAAUCCCAGCACGCCAGGCCUCCCUGUCCAUCACCAUCUCCUGGAGUUCACUCAGACUCACAUCCAUCGAGUCCGUGACGCCAUCCAGCCAUCUCAUCCUGGGUCAUCCCCUUCUCCUCCUGCCCCCAAUCUCUCCCAGCAUCAGUCUUUUCCAAUGAGUCAACUCUUCGCAUGAGGUGGCCAAAGAACUGGAGCUUCAGCUUUAGCAUCAUUCCUUCCAAAGAAAUCCCAGGGCUGAUCUCCUUCAGAAUGGACUGGUUGGAUCUCCUUGCAGUCCAAGGCACUCUCAAGAGUCCUCUCCAACACCAUAGUUAAA
Molecule: long non-coding RNA, 3676 nt
Filed under: Ovis aries (sheep)
Lineage: Eukaryota; Metazoa; Chordata; Mammalia; Artiodactyla; Bovidae
Description: lncRNA (ENSOARG00000025678.1)
Source: RNAcentral